Molecule: RNase P RNA, 244 nt
Filed under: Actinomycetota bacterium
Lineage: Bacteria; Bacillati; Actinomycetota
Description: Actinobacteria bacterium partial RNase P RNA component class A
Rfam family: Bacterial RNase P class A
About the family: Ribonuclease P (RNase P) is a ubiquitous endoribonuclease, found in archaea, bacteria and eukarya as well as chloroplasts and mitochondria.
Source: RNAcentral
AGAGUCGCCCGGAUCACCGCGUUGCGUAAGCACCGAGGAAAGUCCGGACUCCAGAGAGCAAGGUGGUGGGUAACGCCCACCCGGAGCAAUCCGCGGGAUCAGUGCCACAGAAAACAGACCGCUCAUGCAAAUGAGUAAGGGUGAAACGGUGGUGUAAGAGACCACCAGCAUUUACGGCAACGUAUAUGGCUAGGUAAACCCCACUUGGAGCAAGACCAGACAGAUAGCGUUUGAGAACUGCUCG